UUAAAUUGAAGAGUUUGAUCAUGGCUCAGAUUGAACGCUGGCGGCAGGCCUAACACAUGCAAGUCGAACGGUAACAGGAAGCAGCUUGCUGCUUUGCUGACGAGUGGCGGACGGGUGAGUAAUGUCUGGGAAACUGCCUGAUGGAGGGGGAUAACUACUGGAAACGGUGGCUAAUACCGCAUAACGUCGCAAGACCAAAGAGGGGGACCUUCGGGCCUCUUGCCAUCAGAUGUGCCCAGAUGGGAUUAGCUAGUUGGUGAGGUAACGGCUCACCAAGGCGACGAUCCCUAGCUGGUCUGAGAGGAUGACCAGCCACACUGGAACUGAGACACGGUCCAGACUCCUACGGGAGGCAGCAGUGGGGAAUAUUGCACAAUGGGCGCAAGCCUGAUGCAGCCAUGCCGCGUGUAUGAAGAAGGCCUUCGGGUUGUAAAGUACUUUCAGCGGGGAGGAAGGUGUUGCGGUUAAUAACCGCAGCAAUUGACGUUACCCGCAGAAGAAGCACCGGCUAACUCCGUGCCAGCAGCCGCGGUAAUACGGAGGGUGCAAGCGUUAAUCGGAAUUACUGGGCGUAAAGCGCACGCAGGCGGUCUGUCAAGUCGGAUGUGAAAUCCCCGGGCUCAACCUGGGAACUGCAUUCGAAACUGGCAGGCUUGAGUCUUGUAGAGGGGGGUAGAAUUCCAGGUGUAGCGGUGAAAUGCGUAGAGAUCUGGAGGAAUACCGGUGGCGAAGGCGGCCCCCUGGACAAAGACUGACGCUCAGGUGCGAAAGCGUGGGGAGCAAACAGGAUUAGAUACCCUGGUAGUCCACGCCGUAAACGAUGUCUACUUGGAGGUUGUGCCCUUGAGGCGUGGCUUCCGGAGCUAACGCGUUAAGUAGACCGCCUGGGGAGUACGGCCGCAAGGUUAAAACUCAAAUGAAUUGACGGGGGCCCGCACAAGCGGUGGAGCAUGUGGUUUAAUUCGAUGCAACGCGAAGAACCUUACCUGGUCUUGACAUCCACAGAAGAAUCCAGAGAUGGAUUUGUGCCUUCGGGAACUGUGAGACAGGUGCUGCAUGGCUGUCGUCAGCUCGUGUUGUGAAAUGUUGGGUUAAGUCCCGCAACGAGCGCAACCCUUAUCCUUUGUUGCCAGCGGUCCGGCCGGGAACUCAAAGGAGACUGCCAGUGAUAAACUGGAGGAAGGUGGGGAUGACGUCAAGUCAUCAUGGCCCUUACGACCAGGGCUACACACGUGCUACAAUGGCGCAUACAAAGAGAAGCGACCUCGCGAGAGCAAGCGGACCUCAUAAAGUGCGUCGUAGUCCGGAUUGGAGUCUGCAACUCGACUCCAUGAAGUCGGAAUCGCUAGUAAUCGUGGAUCAGAAUGCCACGGUGAAUACGUUCCCGGGCCUUGUACACACCGCCCGUCACACCAUGGGAGUGGGUUGCAAAAGAAGUAGGUAGCUUAACCUUCGGGAGGGCGCUUACCACUUUGUGAUUCAUGACUGGGGUGAAGUCGUAACAAGGUAACCGUAGGGGAACCUGCGGUUGGAUCACCUCCUUACCUGAAAGAA
This 1554-nucleotide ribosomal RNA is filed under the name Salmonella enterica subsp. enterica serovar Waycross. RNAcentral's name for it is "bacterial SSU rRNA". It matches the Rfam family "Bacterial small subunit ribosomal RNA". Lineage: Bacteria; Pseudomonadati; Pseudomonadota; Gammaproteobacteria; Enterobacterales; Enterobacteriaceae. The record is from RNAcentral.